RNAcentral lists this ribosomal RNA (460 nucleotides) under uncultured bacterium. RNAcentral's name for it is "partial 16S ribosomal RNA". It matches the Rfam family "Bacterial small subunit ribosomal RNA", at positions 338 to 795 of the family's 1533-position model. The record is from RNAcentral.
CCUACGGGAGGCAGCAGUGAGGAAUAUUGGUCAAUGGGCGGAAUCCUGAACCAGCCAUGCCGCGUGCAGGACGACGGCUCUACGAGUUGUAAACUGCUUUUGUACGGGGGUAACACGCCCUACGAGUAGGGUUUUGCAUGUACGGUACGAAUAAGGACCGGCUAACUCCGUUCCAGCAGCCGCGGUAAUACGGAGGAUCCGCGCGUUAUCCGGAUUUAUUGGGUUUAAAGGGUGCGUAGGUUGUAUGUUAAGUUAGCUGUGAAAUACCCGGGCUCAACAUGGGGGUUGCAGCGGAAACUGUAGGGCUAGAGAACGGGUGAAGCAGGCGGAAUGCGUAGUGUAGCGGUGAAAUGCAUAGAUAUGACGAAGAACACCGAUUGCGAAGGCAGCUUGCUGGAGCGGAACUGACGCUGAUGCGCGAAAGCGUGGGGAUCGAACAGGAUUAGAUACCCUGGUAGUC